RNAcentral lists this ribosomal RNA (690 nucleotides) under uncultured Acidobacteriota bacterium. Its description in RNAcentral is "bacterial SSU rRNA". It matches the Rfam family "Bacterial small subunit ribosomal RNA", at positions 15 to 737 of the family's 1533-position model. Lineage: Bacteria; Pseudomonadati; Acidobacteriota. The record is from RNAcentral.
GAUCCUGGCUCAGAAUCAACGCUGGCGGCGUGCCUAACACAUGCAAGUCGCACGAGAAAGGGUAGCAAUACCUGAGUAAAGUGGCGCACGGGUGAGUAACACGUGAAUUAUCUACCUCCGAGUGGGGAAUAACUGAGAGAAAUCUUAGCUAAUACCGCAUAACACUUACGAGUCAAAGCAGUAAUGCGCUUGGAGAGGAGUUCGCGGCAGAUUAGUUAGUUGGCGGGGUAAUGGCCCACCAAGACGAUGAUCUGUAUCCGGCCUGAGAGGGCGCACGGACACACUGGAACUGAAACACGGUCCAGACUCCUACGGGAGGCAGCAGUGGGGAAUUUUGCGCAAUGGGGGGAACCCUGACGCAGCAACGCCGCGUGGAGGAUGAAAUCCCUUGGGAUGUAAACUCCUUUCGAUAGGGAAGAUUAUGACGGUACCUAUAGAAGAAGCCCCGGCUAACUUCGUGCCAGCAGCCGCGGUAAUACGAGGGGGGCAAGCGUUGUUCGGAUUUAUUGGGCGUAAAGGGUGCGUAGGCGGUUUGGCAAGUCUUGUGUGAAAUCUUUGGGCUCAACCCAAAGCCUGCACAAGAAACUGCCGGGCUUGAGUAUGGGAGAGGUGAGUGGAAUUUCCGGUGUAGCGGUGAAACGCGUAGAUAUCGGAAGGAACACCUGUGGCGAAAGCGGCUCACUGGACCAU